UACGGGAGCAGCAGUGGGGAAUAUUGCACAAUGGGCGCAAGCCUGAUGCAGCCAUGCCGCGUGUAUGAAGAAGGCCUUCGGGUUGUAAAGUACUUUCAGUCGUGAGGAAGGUGUUAAGGUUAAUAACCUUAGCAAUUGACGUUAGCGACAGAAGAAGCACCGGCUAACUCCGUGCCAGCAGCCGCGGUAAUACGGAGGGUGCGAGCGUUAAUCGGAAUUACUGGGCUAAAGGGCACGCAGGCGGUUAAUUAAGUUGGAUGUGAAAUCCCCGGGCUUAACCUGGGAAUGGCAUUCAAGACUGGUUAGCUAGAGUCUUGUAGAGGGGGUAGAAUUCCAUGUGUAGCGGUGAAAUGCGUAGAGAUGUGGAGGAAUACCGGGUGGCGAAGGCGGCCCCUGGGACAAAGGCUGACGCUCAUGUGCGAAAGCGUGGGGAGCAAACAGGGAUUAGAUACC
This 453-nucleotide ribosomal RNA is filed under the name uncultured bacterium. RNAcentral's name for it is "bacterial SSU rRNA". It matches the Rfam family "Bacterial small subunit ribosomal RNA", at positions 340 to 786 of the family's 1533-position model. The record is from RNAcentral.